GACGAACGCUGGCGGCGUGCUUAACACAUGCAAGUCGAACGGAAAGGCCCUGCUUUUGUGGGGUGCUCGAGUGGCGAACAGGUGAGUAAAACGUGAGUAACAUGCCCUUGACUUUGGGGUAAAUUCAGGGAACUGGGGCUAAUACCCGGUAGAAGCUCCUGCUGCAUGGGGUGGGUUGGAAAGUUUCGGCGGUUGGGGAUGGACUCGCGGCUUAUCAGCUUGUUGGUGGGGUAGUGGCGUACCAGGGCUUUGACGGGUAGCCCGCCUGAGAGGGUGACCGGCGACAAUGGGACUGAGAGACGGCCCAGACGCCUACGGGAGGCAGCAGUGGGGAAUAUUGCAGAAUGGGCGGAAGCCUGAUGCAGCAACCUCGCGUGCGGGAUGACGGCCUUCGGGUUGUAAACCGCUUUCGCCUGUGACGAAGCGUGAGUGACGGUAAUUGGUAAAGAAGCACCGGCUAACUACGUG
Molecule: ribosomal RNA, 468 nt
Filed under: uncultured bacterium
Lineage: Bacteria
Description: partial 16S ribosomal RNA
Rfam family: Bacterial small subunit ribosomal RNA
Source: RNAcentral